This 348-nucleotide unclassified non-coding RNA is filed under the name soil metagenome. RNAcentral describes it as "partial contains 5.8S ribosomal RNA, internal transcribed spacer 2, and large subunit ribosomal RNA". The stretch from base 1 to 120 matches the Rfam family "5.8S ribosomal RNA", at positions 35 to 154 of the family's 154-position model. The record is from RNAcentral.
GAUGAAGAACGCAGCGAAAUGCGAUAAGUAGUGUGAAUUGCAGAAUUCAGUGAAUCAUCGAAUCUUUGAACACACAUUGCGCCCGCCAGUAUUCUGGCGGGCAUGCCUGUCUGAGCGUCAUUUCAACCCUCAUGCCCCUAGGGCGUGGUGUUGGGGAUCGGCCAAAGCCCGCGAGGGACGGCCGGCCCCUAAAUCUAGUGGCGGACCCGUCGUGGCCUCCUCUGCGAAGUAGUGAUAUUCCGCAUCGGAGAGCGAUGAGCCCCUGCCGUUAAACCCCCAACUUUCCAAGGUUGACCUCAGAUCAGGUAGGAAUACCCGCUGAACUUAAGCAUAUCAAUAAGCGGAGGA